UAUCUCCUUAAACAUUCAUCGU
RNAcentral lists this microRNA (22 nucleotides) under Nematostella vectensis (starlet sea anemone). RNAcentral's name for it is "nve-miR-9449". The record is from miRBase by way of RNAcentral. Lineage: Eukaryota; Metazoa; Cnidaria; Anthozoa; Actiniaria; Edwardsiidae.